UUUGACGUGAAUUGGUUAUGUUUAGAUACACUCGUUUAAAAGUGAUUCUUAUGAGUUGAUGUUGUUUGGAUAA
RNAcentral lists this microRNA precursor (73 nucleotides) under Medicago truncatula (barrel medic). RNAcentral's name for it is "MIR5272 microRNA precursor family". It matches the Rfam family "MIR5272 microRNA precursor family". The record is from Rfam by way of RNAcentral. Lineage: Eukaryota; Viridiplantae; Streptophyta; Magnoliopsida; Fabales; Fabaceae.